CCUACGGGUGGCUGCAGUGGGGAAUAUUGCACAAUGGGGGAAACCCUGAUGCCGCGACGCCGCGUGAAGGAAGAAGUAUUUCGGUAUGUAAACUUCUAUCAGCAGGGACGAAAAUGACGGUACCUGCCUAAGAAGCCCCGGCUAACUACGUGCCCGCAGCCGCGGUAAUACGUAGGGGGCAAGCGUUAUCCGGAUUUACUGGGUGUAAAGGGAGCGUAGGCGGUGCAGCAAGUCAGAAGUGAAGGCCCGGGUCUCAACUCCGGGACUGCUUUUGAAACUGUUGAACUAGAUUGCAGGAGAGGUAAGGGGAAUUCCUAGUGGAGCGGUGAAAUGCGUAGAUAUUAGGAGGAACACCAGUGGCGAAGGCGGCUUACUGGACUGUAAAUGACGCUGAGGCUCGAAAGCGUGGGGAGCAAACAGGAUUAGAUACCCGGGUAGUC
This 440-nucleotide ribosomal RNA is filed under the name uncultured bacterium. RNAcentral's name for it is "partial 16S ribosomal RNA". It matches the Rfam family "Bacterial small subunit ribosomal RNA", at positions 338 to 795 of the family's 1533-position model. The record is from RNAcentral.